AGGUAGAGUGGCCGAAUGGUAGGCGGCAGGCUGUAGUCCUGUUAAUAUAGGUUUGAUUCCUGUUUCUAU
Molecule: transfer RNA, 69 nt
Filed under: Diplodactylus conspicillatus (fat-tailed gecko)
Lineage: Eukaryota; Metazoa; Chordata; Lepidosauria; Squamata; Diplodactylidae
Description: tRNA-Tyr
Rfam family: tRNA
About the family: Transfer RNA (tRNA) molecules are approximately 80 nucleotides in length.
Source: RNAcentral